GACGAACGCUGGCGGCGUGCUUAACACAUGCAAGUCGAACAGAAAGGCCCUGCUUUUGUGGGGUGCUCGAGUGGCGAACGGGUGAGUAACACGUGAGUAACCUGCCCUUGACUUUGGGAUAACUUCAGGAAACUGGGGCUAAUACCGGAUAGGAGCUCCUGCUGCAUGGUGGGGGUUGGAAAGUUUCGGCGGUUGGGGAUGGACUCGCGGCUUAUCAGCUUGUUGGUGGGGUAGUGGCUUACCAAGGCUUUGACGGGUAGCCGGCCUGAGAGGGUGACCGGCCACAUUGGGACUGAGAUACGGCCCAGACUCCUACGGGAGGCAGCAGUGGGGAAUAUUGCACAAUGGGCGGAAGCCUGAUGCAGCAACGCUGCGUGCGGGAUGACGGCCUUCGGGUUGUAAACCGCUUUCGCCUGUGACGAAGCGUGAGUGACGGUAAUGGGUAAAGAAGCACCGGCUAACUACGUG
Molecule: ribosomal RNA, 468 nt
Filed under: uncultured bacterium
Lineage: Bacteria
Description: partial 16S ribosomal RNA
Rfam family: Bacterial small subunit ribosomal RNA
Source: RNAcentral